Molecule: ribosomal RNA, 764 nt
Filed under: Acinetobacter calcoaceticus
Lineage: Bacteria; Pseudomonadati; Pseudomonadota; Gammaproteobacteria; Moraxellales; Moraxellaceae
Description: bacterial SSU rRNA
Rfam family: Bacterial small subunit ribosomal RNA
Source: RNAcentral
UGCCGCGUGUGUGAAGAAGGCCUUAUGGUUGUAAAGCACUUUAAGCGAGGAGGAGGCUACUUUAGUUAAUACCUAGAGAUAGUGGACGUUACUCGCAGAAUAAGCACCGGCUAACUCUGUGCCAGCAGCCGCGGUAAUACAGAGGGUGCAAGCGUUAAUCGGAUUUACUGGGCGUAAAGCGCGCGUAGGCGGCUAAUUAAGUCAAAUGUGAAAUCCCCGAGCUUAACUUGGGAAUUGCAUUCGAUACUGGUUAGCUAGAGUGUGGGAGAGGAUGGUAGAAUUCCAGGUGUAGCGGUGAAAUGCGUAGAGAUCUGGAGGAAUACCGAUGGCGAAGGCAGCCAUCUGGCCUAACACUGACGCUGAGGUGCGAAAGCAUGGGNANCAAACAGGAUUAGAUACCCUGGUAGUCCAUGCCGUAAACGAUGUCUACUAGCCGUUGGGGCCUUUGAGGCUUUAGUGGCGCAGCUAACGCGAUAAGUAGACCGCCUGGGGAGUACGGUCGCAAGACUAAAACUCNANUNAAUUGACGGGGGCCCGCACAAGCGGUGGAGCAUGUGGUUUAAUUCGAUGCAACGCGAAGAACCUUACCUGGCCUUGACAUAGUAAGAACUUUCCAGAGAUGGAUUGNUGCCUUCGGGAACUUACAUACAGGUGCUGCAUGGCUGUCGUCCAGCUCGUGUCGUGGANAUGUUGGGUUAAGUCCCGCAACGANAACACCCNNUUCCUUAUUGCCAACNAGUAAUGUCGGGGACUUUUAGGAUCUU